AUUGAACGCUGGCGGCAUGCCUUACACAUGCAAGUCGAACGGCAGCACGGGAGCAAUCCUGGUGGCGAGUGGCGAACGGGUGAGUAAUAUAUCGGAACGUGCCCAGUCGUGGGGAUAACGUAGCGAAAGCUACGCUAAUACCGCAUACGAUCUAUGGAUGAAAGCGGGGGAUCGCAAGACCUCGCGCGAUUGGAGCGGCCGAUAUCAGAUUAGGUAGUUGGUGAGGUAAAGGGCUCACCAAGCCGACGAUCUGUAGCUGGUCUGAGAGGACGACCAGCCACACUGGGACUGAGACACGGCCCAGACUCCUACGGGAGGCAGCAGUGGGGAAUUUUGGACAAUGGGCGCAAGCCUGAUCCAGCAAUGCCGCGUGCAGGAUGAAGGCCUCGGUUGUAACGUAGCUUUUGUUACGGGUAACGAAAC
This 423-nucleotide ribosomal RNA is filed under the name uncultured bacterium. Its description in RNAcentral is "bacterial SSU rRNA". It matches the Rfam family "Bacterial small subunit ribosomal RNA", at positions 30 to 454 of the family's 1533-position model. The record is from RNAcentral.